Long non-coding RNA from Scophthalmus maximus (turbot), 438 nucleotides. RefSeq lists it as uncharacterized. The record is from RefSeq and is a predicted model, not a curated record. NCBI's taxonomy places the organism in Eukaryota, Metazoa, Chordata, Actinopteri, Pleuronectiformes, Scophthalmidae. The transcript has 3 exons.
AAUCCUCCUUCCAUCCAUCAAUCCAAUCACCUGUUACCAUGUCAAGCUACCUUUUGAGCGAAAGGGACAAUUGGAACGGCUUCUGGAUCCCGUGUUUACAUGUGCACCACGUUAGAUGUUCCCUGAACCAACACCACCGCCAACAAUAUAGUUUUUUUCAACAUCAGUCACGGUUCUCCGCAGCUUUGGCCGUCCAUGUGCUGUAGGCUGGCGAUCGCAGCACACAGAUCACAGCAGAUCUUUGUUUGGCUACCAACUGUUCUCAUUUGACUAGAGAUCAAAAAGCUCCGUUUGGUUUUAGAACCUUGUCCUGUGUGCGGCUGCAGCAGCUCUGCUGGUCCGCCAGCAUCACAUCCUGUCUGACCGGACUGGGUGUGAAGGCGGAGGCGAGGCGGGGAGAGGAGAGGAGACCGCCGCGGACCAACACCAGCACCAGAG